CGUGUAGGCGGCUUGACAAGUCAGAAUGUGAAAUCCCUGGGCUUAACCCAGGAAGUGCAUUUGAAACUGUUUGGCUGGAGUAAGGGAGAGGAAAGUGGAAUUCCUGGUGUAGAGGUGAAAUUCGUAGAUAUCAGGAGGAACACCGGUGGCGAAGGCGACUUUCUGGCCCUAUACUGACGCUGAGACGCGAAAGCGUGGGUAGCAAACAG
RNAcentral lists this ribosomal RNA (209 nucleotides) under uncultured Syntrophaceae bacterium. Its description in RNAcentral is "partial 16S ribosomal RNA". It matches the Rfam family "Bacterial small subunit ribosomal RNA", at positions 568 to 775 of the family's 1533-position model. Lineage: Bacteria; Pseudomonadati; Thermodesulfobacteriota; Syntrophia; Syntrophales; Syntrophaceae. The record is from RNAcentral.